CCCAGGCGUGGUGGCGCAUGCCUGUAGUCCCAGCUACUCGGGAGGCUGAGGUGGGAGGAUCCUUGAGACCGGGAGUUCUGGGCUGUAGUGUGCUGUGCCGAUCAGGUGUCCACACUAAGUUUGGCAUCAAUAUGGUGACUUCCUGGAAGCGGGGGACCACCAGGUUGCCUAAGGAGGAAUGAACCAGCCCAGGUCGGAAACGGAGCAGGUCAAAACUCCCAUGCUGAUCAGUAGUGGGAUCGCACCUGUGAAUAGCCACUGCACUCCAGCCUGGGCAACAUAGCAAGACCCCAUCUCU
This 298-nucleotide signal recognition particle RNA is filed under the name Saimiri boliviensis boliviensis (Bolivian squirrel monkey). RNAcentral's name for it is "Metazoan signal recognition particle RNA (ENSSBOG00000004592.1)". It matches the Rfam family "Metazoan signal recognition particle RNA". Rfam says of the family: The signal recognition particle (SRP) is a universally conserved ribonucleoprotein. It is involved in the co-translational targeting of proteins to membranes. The record is from RNAcentral. Lineage: Eukaryota; Metazoa; Chordata; Mammalia; Primates; Cebidae.